UACGGAGGGUGCAAGCGUUAUCCGGAUUCACUGGGUUUAAAGGGUGCGUAGGUGGGCAGGUAAGUCAGUGGUGAAAUCUCCGGGCUUAACUCGGAAACUGCCGUUGAUACUAUCUGUCUUGAAUAUCGUGGAGGUUAGCGGAAUAUGUCAUGUAGCGGUGAAAUGCUUAGAUAUGACAUAGAACACCCAUUGCGAAGGCAGCUAACUACACGAUCAUUGACACUGAGGCACGAAAGCGUGGGGAUCAAACAGG
Molecule: ribosomal RNA, 253 nt
Filed under: uncultured bacterium
Lineage: Bacteria
Description: partial 16S ribosomal RNA
Rfam family: Bacterial small subunit ribosomal RNA
Source: RNAcentral